GAUGAAGAACGCAGCGAAAUGCGAUAAGUAAUGUGAAUUGCAGAAUUCAGUGAAUCAUCGAAUCUUUGAACGCACAUUGCGCCCGCCAGUAUUCUGGCGGGCAUGCCUGUUCGAGCGUCAUUUCAACCAUCAAGCCCCCGGCUUGUGUUGGGGACCUGCGGCUGCCGCAGGCCCUGAAAACCAGUGGCGGGCUCGCUAGUCACUCCGAGCGUAGUAAUACAUCUCGCUCAGGGCGUGCUGCGGGUUCCGGCCGUUAAAAAGCCUUAUUUACCCAAGGUUGACCUCGGAUCAGGUAGGAAGACCCGCUGAACUUAAGUAUAUCAAUAAGCGGAGGA
Molecule: unclassified non-coding RNA, 335 nt
Filed under: soil metagenome
Description: partial contains 5.8S ribosomal RNA, internal transcribed spacer 2, and large subunit ribosomal RNA
Rfam family: 5.8S ribosomal RNA (bases 1-120)
Source: RNAcentral